CAGAGCGGCGGAUGCCGGGAAGUUGGUCAAACUUGAUCAUUUAGAGGAAGUAAAAGUCGUAACAAGGUUUCCGUAGGUGAACCUGCGGAAGGAUCAUUACCGAUAAUUCAAUGGUUAUCAUUAACCCGUGUGAACCGUACACAACCUUAGGGGUCGGUCAUCGUGCCGUUAAAUGGGUCGUUCGUCCGUCGAUUCGGCGUUCGGCCAGCCCCGCCUUUUGUAACGCACUUCAAUGUUCAAGUCUGAAAGCUUGCCGCCCGUCCUGUCGGGCGGUAGUGUAAACGAAAAUGAGAGAGACAACUUUUAACGGUGGAUCUCUUGGCUCACGUAUCGAUGAAGAACGCAGCCAGCUGCGAUAAGUAGUGUGAAUUGCAGAAUUCAGUGAAUCAUUGAAUCUUUGAACGCAAAUGGCGCUCUUGGGUUCUCCCAGGAGCAUGUCUGUCUGAGUGUCGGAUAUUAUCUAACGCACUUGAGUGUGCGGAAUUGAGGCGUCACGGCGUCACACGACUCGCCGUGUCCCUCGAAGGAAAGCGUGCUGGACUCGCAUCGUGCGGUUUCAAACCCGCGCUCCGUGCGAAGGCUAAAACCGUUUUGUCCUUCGUCGGGGUGCAGGUCCGCCAGCGCGAGCCGGCCGAAAAAGGUGACACU
This 648-nucleotide unclassified non-coding RNA is filed under the name Balanophyllia regia. RNAcentral describes it as "sequence contains ITS1, 5.8S rRNA gene and ITS2". The stretch from base 299 to 452 matches the Rfam family "5.8S ribosomal RNA". The record is from RNAcentral. Lineage: Eukaryota; Metazoa; Cnidaria; Anthozoa; Scleractinia; Dendrophylliidae.